AAUCUGAUGUCUAACCUAAUUUGGAUACCUGCCUUUUUAGCUUGCAGCUGCCGUCCGUGCACAGAGGAGUCUUAGGAGGAACAACUGUAGAGAAAAGGAUCUGCCAAAUUCGCUAGAAAAUUCACCAGAAACACCACCCGUUAUCCAAUUAAACCAGAUUUUUGGAUCAUUUGUGAAGUUGAAUUGCUAUCCAACUGCUAUUCCCAUUUCUAAACCUUGUUA
Molecule: non-coding RNA, 222 nt
Filed under: Glycine max (soybean)
Lineage: Eukaryota; Viridiplantae; Streptophyta; Magnoliopsida; Fabales; Fabaceae
Source: RNAcentral